RNAcentral lists this ribosomal RNA (347 nucleotides) under uncultured Streptococcus sp. Its description in RNAcentral is "bacterial SSU rRNA". It matches the Rfam family "Bacterial small subunit ribosomal RNA", at positions 1035 to 1382 of the family's 1533-position model. The record is from RNAcentral. Lineage: Bacteria; Bacillati; Bacillota; Bacilli; Lactobacillales; Streptococcaceae.
CAGGUGGUGCAUGGUUGUCGUCAGGCUCGUGUCGUGAGAUGUUGGGUUAAGUCCCGCAGCGAGCGCAACCCCUAUUGUUAGUUGCCAUCAUUCAGUUGGGCACUCUAGCGAGACUGCCGGUAAUAAACCGGAGGAAGUGGGGAUGACGUCAAAUCAUCAUGCCCCUUAUGACCUGGGCUACACACGUGCUACAAUGGUUGGUACAACGAGUUGCGAGUCGGUGACGGCGAGCUAAUCUCUUAAAGCCAAUCUCAGUUCGGAUUGUAGGCUGCAACUCGCCUACAUGAAGUCGGAAUCGCUAGUAAUCGCGGAUCAGCACGCCGCGGUGAAUACGGUUCCCGGGCCUU